CUUCUGGUGAGAGAAAGCUGAGCAGAAUGGAUCUAAUCUGAUUCCUCCACCCAGAAGCCCUUAAAAUGCAGCUUUGUUUUAAGCCUUCUUGAAGAUUUGGGCUAGAUCUAGAAAAGAACCUCACCACGGAGGAUGUGCAAAGUACAACACGUGACCCCGGAGACGGAAGCUCUUCUCUACCUCCGUAAAGAUGAUCUCUGAUGAACAGACAUGAUCAUGCCUGGAGAACAGGGAUGGACAGUCCCGCUUCUGAAAGACCCUGUCUGGCUGAUGAUUCAUGGUGCGCCGGGCAGACCCCAGGCCAAGAGACCCCACCCACAGUACCUGAGUGCUCAGCUGGGAACCAGACCAGACCUCAAAACAGGUUUGCAGAAUUAAGAUGAGGAGCUGAGCUCAACACAGCCUCCGCAGCUCCCCAGGGCGGGCCUGAGCCGAGGGAGAGCCCAUGGCCAUCAGGGUGCUGGAAUGCAUGUCACACUGCAUUACGUGCAUUACGAUCCACGCUGCAAUGACAGCCCAGAGCGUGGAGAACCCAGAGAGGGUGGGGAGAUGGAAUCCCGGCGAGCCAGCGCUGGCAGGGACCACGGGGAGCAGCUGGUCCAGCCGCCGGUUUUCCAAGAGAGAAGACUAAGAAACCAGCCCCCCAGCAUUGACCUGGAUGCCUGCCACAGCCUCCUCCCUGGUCUCCGGCCUCCCACCUCUGCUCCUCGGUCUCCUCUACCCAGCCAGUAACUGCAGAGAGCACUAAAGCACAGUCCUGGCAUCUCACCCCCUUAACCCUGGCCACGGCUUCCCAGUGCCUCCAAGAUAAAGCACCAACACCUGAGGACAGCAGCUUGUUUUGAGAGUCCCCUCCAUUGAAACACGCACAUCUAAUUUGUCCUUCAGUUCGCUGGACUCCACGCUGAACGUGCCAUGCUCCAUUGCCCCGUGAGUAACUCCAUGCUCUUGCCGGUUUCACACGGCCUCUCAGAGCUGGAGCCUUUGUUCAGGAGCCCUGGGCAGCUUUCAGGAAGCUCUUGGGCUCAUCAGCUUCCUCUGGCUGAAGCCGCCCCAGUGGAAUCAUGGGGAUUUCUUACUUUGAAGGUGGGGCCACCCGCAGACUGUAACCGGCUGGUUCAAGAUCAAGGACUUCCCCAGGCCACCUGCCUCAGAGGCAAGAAAGGCUCAGCUGAGUCCCAGACACUCCUCGCUGUGGCCCCUCCUUCCUCCCUGCUGGGCAGGCCCCCCUCAAUUCUGUUUGCCAGCAGGGCCUAGUAACACUGAAAGACGAAAAGGGAAAUAAAAUAAACACAAUUAAUAGGCUAAAGGUUACUGAAUAAAGUGGCAGCAGUAAAUAAAUUGACUACUGUGCAAAUACAAAGACAUGAAGACAUGAAACCCCUGCUCUAAAUGACCACUCACCAAGAGCAAGGCCUGGGCUGGAGGCAGGGAGCACCUCCCUAAGGAGCACUCCCUCUUUCCCGGAGUGAGUCCUCCUUCUAGAUGGAAUUCAGUCCGGGUUCCUCUUGAGCCACAGUCCCUGUUGGGGCCUAUCUCAGUGGACUCAAGAUCCUGAACUUCUUCCAGAUUGCUGACUACACAUUUGAGUCACCCAGAGAUUAAAAGAAAAAACAAAUAAUUUCCCAGUGAUCAGGAGUAAAUCAGCUGGGGCAGGGUUGGUGCUAUGAAUGACCACACUGAUUUGUACACUUCACUGAUUUGUAGUGUUUGCUAUUUCCGUCGUGUAAAUACUGCCAACAUGGACAAUCUUCAGUUGCUAAUGGUUUACUAACUGGCUUGUAAAUGAAUUCAUUCAGUAUUCAAGAAAAUGGCACUACAUUUA
RNAcentral lists this long non-coding RNA (1825 nucleotides) under Homo sapiens (human). RNAcentral describes it as "HSALNT0317554". Lineage: Eukaryota; Metazoa; Chordata; Mammalia; Primates; Hominidae. The record is from RNAcentral.